AUUGAACGCUGGCGGCGGGCCUAACACAUGCAAGUCGAGCGGAUGAAGGGAGCUUGCUCCUGGAUUCAGCGGCGGACGGGUGAGUAAUGCCUAGGAAUCUGCCUGGUAGUGGGGGAUAACGUCCGGAAACGGGCGCUAAUACCGCAUACGUCCUGAGGGAGAAAGUGGGGGAUCUUCGGACCUCACGCUAUCAGAUGAGCCUAGGUCGGAUUAGCUAGUUGGUGGGGUAAAGGCCUACCAAGGCGACGAUCCGUAACUGGUCUGAGAGGAUGAUCAGUCACACUGGAACUGAGACACGGUCCAGACUCCUACGGGAGGCAGCAGUGGGGAAUAUUGGACAAUGGGCGAAAGCCUGAUCCAGCCGUGCCGCGUGUGUGAAGAAGGUCUUCGGAUUGUAAAGCACUUUAAGUUGGGAGGAAGGGCAGUAAGUUAAUACCUUGCUGUUUUGACGUUACCAACAGAAUAAGCACCGGCUAACUUCGUG
RNAcentral lists this ribosomal RNA (484 nucleotides) under uncultured bacterium. Its description in RNAcentral is "partial 16S ribosomal RNA". It matches the Rfam family "Bacterial small subunit ribosomal RNA", at positions 30 to 507 of the family's 1533-position model. The record is from RNAcentral.